UAUGAAGAACGUAGCGAAAUGCGAUAAGUAAUGCGAAUUGCAGAAUUCAGUGAGUCAUCGAAUCUUUGAACGCACAUUGCGCCCUGUGGUAUUCCGCAGGGCAUGCCUGUUCGAGCGUCAUUUCAACCCUCAAGCCCCGCUUGGUGUUGGGCCCCGCCCGCCGUGGCCGGCCCUAAAGACAGUGGCGGCGCCGCCUGGCCCUCAGCGUAGUACAGCUCUCGCUCCAGGGUCCGGCGGCCGCCUGCCAGAACCCCCCCAACUCUGUGGUUGACCUCGGAUCAGGUAGGGAUACCCGCUGGACUUAAGCAUAUCAAUAAGCGGAGGA
RNAcentral lists this unclassified non-coding RNA (325 nucleotides) under soil metagenome. RNAcentral's name for it is "partial contains 5.8S ribosomal RNA, internal transcribed spacer 2, and large subunit ribosomal RNA". The stretch from base 2 to 120 matches the Rfam family "5.8S ribosomal RNA", at positions 36 to 154 of the family's 154-position model. The record is from RNAcentral.